Felis catus (domestic cat) is the source of this 85-nucleotide non-coding RNA. Lineage: Eukaryota; Metazoa; Chordata; Mammalia; Carnivora; Felidae. The record is from Rfam.
GCCUGGGUGGCUCAGUCGGUUAAGCGUCCGACUUCAGCUCAGGUCAUGACCUCAUGGCUUGCGGGUUCGAGCCCCGCUUUGGGCU